AACGAACGCUGGCGGCAGGCUUAACACAUGCAAGUCGAGCGGGCCCUUCGGGGUCAGCGGCAGACGGGUGAGUAACACGUGGGAACGUACCCUUUGGUUCGGAACAACUCCGGGAAACUGGAGCUAAUACCGGAUAAGCCCUUAGGGGGUAAGAUUUAUCGCCACAGGAUCGGCCCGCGUCUGAUUGGCUGGUUGGUGGGGUAAUGGCCCACCAAGGCGUCGAUCAGUAGCUGGUCUGAGGGGAUGAUCAGCCACACUUGGACUGAGACACGGCCCAGACUCCUACGGAAUGGAGGAGAGGGUAAUAUUGGAGCACGGGGGCAAGGCUGAUAGAGCCAUGCCGGGUGAGUGAUGAAGGCCGUAGGGUAGUAAAGCUCUUUUGUCCGGGAAGAUAAUGACUGUACCGGAAGAAUAAGCCCCGGCUAACUACGUG
This 433-nucleotide ribosomal RNA is filed under the name uncultured bacterium. RNAcentral's name for it is "partial 16S ribosomal RNA". It matches the Rfam family "Bacterial small subunit ribosomal RNA", at positions 29 to 507 of the family's 1533-position model. The record is from RNAcentral.